RNAcentral lists this ribosomal RNA (509 nucleotides) under uncultured bacterium. Its description in RNAcentral is "partial 16S ribosomal RNA". It matches the Rfam family "Bacterial small subunit ribosomal RNA", at positions 28 to 523 of the family's 1533-position model. The record is from RNAcentral.
GAUGAACGCUAGCUACAGGCUUAACACAUGCAAGUCGAGGGGAAACGACAUCGAAAGCUUGCUUUUGAUGGGCGUCGACCGGCGCACGGGUGAGUAACGCGUAUCCAACCUGCCCACCACUUGGGGAUAACCUUGCGAAAGUAAGACUAAUACCCAAUGACGUCUCUAGAAGACAUCUGAAGGAGAUUAAAGAUUUAUCGGUGAUGGAUGGGGAUGCGUCUGAUUAGCUUGUUGGCGGGGUAACGGCCCACCAAGGCCGACGAUCAGUAGGGGUUCUGAGAGGAAGGUCCCCCACAUUGGAACUGAGACACGUUCCAAACUCCUACGGGAGGCAGCAGUGAGGAAUAUUGGUCAAUGGGCGAGAGCCUGAACCAGCCAAGUAGCGUGCAGGAUGACGGCCCUAUGGGUUGUAAACUGCUUUUAUAAGGGAAUAAAGUGAGUCUCGUGAGACUUUUUGCAUGUACCUUAUGAAUAAGGACCGGCUAAUUCCGUGCCAGCCGCCGCCGUAA